CGUGAAUGCACCGUCUCCAGCUGUAUUCAUGUUACGUCAUGUUGAUUGUUUCAUGUGGGUGCUACUCAUUCCAACUGCCUAUUUAACGCCCUGUCUUUCGUCUUCUGUUUGUCAGAUCGUUGUUUGUAGAUCCGUGGCUGAUGUCUUGUUCGUGUGUUCCUGCCUUGCUUUGUCUCCUGUCUGGUUUCUGUUGGACCUUUACCUUCACACACGGAUUAUUAUCACUGCACUUGGAUUUACCACCACCGUCAUCGUCAUCAGCGCACUCAACUCAUCUACUCACCAGUCUGCGCUGCCAUCAUGGUUCCUGUGUCAUUCUCCGACCUUCCAUGAUCUCAUCUUAUCCAAUAAACGCUGUUUACUUGC
Carassius auratus (goldfish) is the source of this 366-nucleotide long non-coding RNA. RefSeq lists it as uncharacterized. NCBI's taxonomy places the organism in Eukaryota, Metazoa, Chordata, Actinopteri, Cypriniformes, Cyprinidae. The record is from RefSeq and is a predicted model, not a curated record. The transcript has 2 exons.